UGAAAAAGCACUUUAGACGUUUGUCUCA
Molecule: non-coding RNA, 28 nt
Filed under: Rattus norvegicus (Norway rat)
Lineage: Eukaryota; Metazoa; Chordata; Mammalia; Rodentia; Muridae
Source: RNAcentral